This is a long non-coding RNA of Manis javanica (Malayan pangolin), 354 nucleotides long. RefSeq lists it as uncharacterized. The record is from RefSeq and is a predicted model, not a curated record. Lineage: Eukaryota; Metazoa; Chordata; Mammalia; Pholidota; Manidae.
GUGUGAACCGGGAGCACCUCUUUCCCACUGUGGGCCUGUCUCCUUCCUCCUGGGGUGCCCUUACAAGGCUCUGAGCGUGUAGCAGGGUGUAAAGGGAUGUGGGUGAAGAACACUGGGGUGCUACUGAUUGACCAGUAAAUAAGUAUUGCUCGGGUUUCCCAACAACAUAAAUGCCCAGGCAUGUGCCACGUUCACAGAUGUCACAAUCAAGACACCAUUCAAAACAGAGAAACUCACCCCAAAGCUGCUGCCUGGCACAGCCCCACCCGGAGGAGAAUCCUGACUCACCAGACAAGAUUCUCUCAAUUCAUACCCAUGGCCCCAUCACCGGGUAGCAUUUCAACCUAGAGCUGG